UUUUCCUUUUGCUAACCCCUAAAGAAGGAUGCAUUACAAAAUAAAACUACAGCGCUAAUGAAUGUGAUGAUGAGUAAAUAAGCAAUUAAUGGAACUUGACAUCUCUGAUCUCUUGGCAUCAAACCUAAAUUUUUGCUGAUCACAAUGAAUAAAUCAUGCGGAGAAACGUCAGAUAAAGAUACAAAAUGGGGGAAGAAAAUGAAACUCCGACAACGAGAAAAGCAAGCAGGCAAAUCGUGAUAGUACAGGCAGAGGAAUCAAGAUUUGCGAGUUUUUGCUCUUGUUGCUUGUUUCUCAGAAUAGAGAGUACUGCAAAAAGGAUUUCAACUUUGUCACAAUGAACGUCCAGACCGGAAUUGCUAUAAUUGAUGUGAGGCUCGGCUUGGCUCCUACCAGUAGAGUUGUCCGAUCAAAGUCUUCUAAGCCUUUAAAGCAGCUUUGUGCACCAUUGUUUCUUUGUGGAUCUGGUGGCAACUCUUUUCGACAAGGUCAAGCAGCUUCUCCAAAUUAGACGCCCAAGAAUUCAAGAUAUCAUUGCUGUCUUUUGGGGGUUGGAAACAGACAAUACCCAUAGGUCUGUCUAUUUUAGCAACCAAAGCUUUUGAUACAACCAUUUCAGAUAGGUGCUUCUCCGCUUCCUGAAUAUCGAGGCACAGUAAAACAGCCAGCCUCUUCAAGGUUAUUCUUGAGUAGUAUUUUGAGACGACAAGGAUGUUGUGCUCAAUAACUCUCAGUUUGAGGUCUUCAGCAGCCUUGUCCCCCAAAGUGCCACCAGGCAUAUUCUUCUCAUUUUCAAACUCAUCCUUGAAUGUGUUCCAUAAAGCAGUCCACUGAAUGACUUCCAUGGUAAUCAAUUGCUUCAGAAGCAGCCUGAAAUGAGAAAUUUCUGAAAGAUUUUUGUCCUCCAAAGUUGAGUUAUGAAGACUUGAUUGCAUAGAAUCAUGGGGAGACAAUACCAAGUACCAGCAAAUUUUCCUCAGAACUGGUAUCCACUGUGCUGGGUCUUCUUUCACGGAAGGGAUCUCAUAUAUAGCCUUGUAACAGCGACAUAUUUCAAGGUAAUCAUUGCUAUGUGAGUAAUACCUAAUCAUUAAUUGAUAGUAGAUCUGCUUCAACUCUGGCAGUGACGGAAUAUCUGCAGCAGGUUCCUCAACCACAUUUUCACCCUCCUUUGCUUUCUUCUUUUCUUUAGAUGGAUCAGCUUCAAACACUCUGGGAUUGAUCUUUCUCGAGAGAAUUUGAGCACGAACAUAAUCUUUAUGAUCUAAGCAUAGACGAACUUGUUCAAGAAUAAAGGCUAUCUUUUCAGUUUUUGCCAUCGCUCCAAAGGUUUCAACAGCAACUUCUUGCAUCAAAUCAGCAGCCUCGCCUAUGAGUUUUUGUUCUUCUUUAAUCUUUGCGAGCUUCUUAAUCAAGCGAGCUCUCUCAAUCUCAACGUAUAUCUUUCCAGCAGACACACUGUUCAGUGUUUUGAUAAGUUCUAUCUUGGUGUCAAGAUCGGGCGUCUGGUCAAUGUAUUGCAUGGCCUGUUGGACCAUGGCCUGUACAGCCUGUUUCAAUUGUCCACGGCGCUUAGACAAUAGAACAAUCUGUUCAUUUAAAGUUUUCCAUGCGCGAGCUUCGAAGCAAAGCUGAAGAAUGUCUAUAGCUGCUUUUCUAGUAGCAGCGACAUCGCCUGCUUGCCUCAUCUGCUUCUCUACAUUCAGAAGCACCUCAAUUUGCGCCUCCAAUUUCCCAUCACCUUCCAUAUUGAUUAUUGAGUUUUUUUCGGAGUUCGAUUGAGAUCGAUUCUCAGAAACCCUAAAAGAGAGAGAGA
This 1816-nucleotide unclassified non-coding RNA is filed under the name Hevea brasiliensis (rubber tree). The record is from RNAcentral. Lineage: Eukaryota; Viridiplantae; Streptophyta; Magnoliopsida; Malpighiales; Euphorbiaceae.